UAAAAAAUAAACAAAAGUUAACAAAUAACACAAUGUAUUCUGCUUACCACAGAUGUAGCGUCCGUUUCUCUCGUGUGCCGUGGUGGCGGCGGCGGCGGCGGCGGUUUUUGGUGAAAGUAACAGUUAUACACGGGCACUGACGCUUAACCCUUAAAUUGAACAUUGCCAUAUCAUUGCGUGGGUAUACAAAGAUAUAAAUAGACAUGGCGACAUAAUCUAGGGAAUACCUGUGGUAUCACAUGCGUUGACGUGUACUUCCUGUGCCUGUGGGACUCAUAUUAUCAACAUGACGAAUUUAGAGCGGAAUAUUCAUUAUCUUUACGUAACUUCUGUGUUUUUCACAACGCUUGUCAAUGUCGAAGGCGUCCCCACUGAGCAGUGUCAGUAUGGGCUAUACUUCGACACGGCGCUGUCCCGGUGCGAUAGCUGUGUUCAACUCUGCCCCCGGGUAGGGUACGAAGCGAUACCCCAGCCCUGCUCAGCAUACUGCAUGACAACCACGUCAGCACCGACCACGACAACAACCAGCCCAGGGAUGGAAGUCCCCCCAACACUGAGCACGACUGCCAUCAUCACCAUCGCCCUGUGCUGUAUGUUGUGUGUUGUGAGUGUUGUGGGCUUCAUGUGGCUGUUCGUCCCAGCAUGUCAACCUUCCCGUAACUCCCGCGAGAAGGAAGACUUGGACGAAGAGGAUGUGCCACUCGGGGGCGUCCAGGAAACUAGCACUGAACACCACGGAACUGUCUUGUGUGUGUGAUGCGCAAUGGGCGUGACGCUGGAUCAGUCCGAUGUCGUCAAGUCCAGCAGCUUCGUGGUCAUCCCAGCUUCUGUCAAUGACAAUGAGCCAUGGGUAACACUCAACAUGUAUGUAUAUAGCAAAUUCUUACAUGUGUGUAUGGGCGUUUUAAUGCAUGAGUAAUUAUGUACUGUCAAUCCCAGAUGGGACGAUUCACCGAUACAUCGUGAUGCUCCGUAACCACUCGACAUAUCAAUACGAAACUAGAAGUACGGCUGCCUUUGCACCAUACGUCAGUGCAGUGGCAUUUUCAAGAUUGCUGCAAACAAAUCUACUUGUUUCGGCAUGAGGACUGAAUAUACAACGGCAAGCCUGACUGACUCAUCUGCUCGUGGAAUCCUUUUUGUUCCAUGAUACGUAUCGUAACUCUGUGUGUCGUCCCACUGUGCGUGUCGGUACUGUAUGGUGCUUCUCGCCUGUAGUAUAGCGCCUACCUAACUCAUCACAGACAACGUGUUUGUACUGUGUGACGGGUGUAUUGGGAGUUUACUAUUAUAUGAUGUACAUGGGACAUCGUUGGUUGCUUGUUCAUUAUUUAAAGACAAUAAAUACAUAUGGAAUGUUUAUUGAAAAGUGUUCUAUACUACUAAAAAUGUAACCAAAAAGGAGGACCACCCGUUCCUUUCAUAUCACUAUAGUUAAUCUGCUAUACGAUGACAGUUUACUACAGUACCAGGAAAGCAUCGGGUGGAACUUAACAUUUUGCUGGUAGUAUAUUUACACAUACAUGAGGGGAGAGAUCACGAUAUAUAUUCCUGGUUUAACGCUUGCUGAAUAUGAUAUUCAAAUUGCGAAAGGUUUUAGCAUUUCAGAACCCAUUUCACAAUUAAUGUGUAAAUGUUUAUUACAUUUUGUUUCAUAUUUAUGAAAAACAGAACAAAUUAUUAAAUAAAAAGCCCUCUCCAUAAAUAUCAACAGAAUGUACCAAAAAAACAAUGCAUGAUGGGGCAGGUGUAUAGUCCAUGGAAGCAUGCUAAGCAUUUUAAUUAAGCUCAGUGUUCCAAAUUAAUUAGGUGUAAUCUUAUAGGUAAAUAUCAUGUAGAAGUUGAAUAUUAACAUAUUCAUAUAGAUGAAAAUAAAGUAAUUAACUGUAGCAAUUAUAUCUUAACUACGUUUGUGAGGUUUAUAAUAAAGGUUAAACCAUACUAGAUUGAUAAUUUGUCUUUAGGAAUCGCAACCUCCCCCAAUGACUGGAAAAUAUGUUUUUGAGAUUAACAGUAAUUACAAGUAAAUUAUAUAUUAAUAUUGGUCGAGGGAAACUGUAAAUAAAGUAAAAAAAACACUCGAAUCUUUCAUAUUAUUAUAGUUAAUCUGUCGUGCCAUGGUUAUUUCAUAUUGAAUAAGAGUCAACUUUAUAAUAUGUAUUAUUUGUUAAAACAAUAAUGUCUUAUGUUAUAAGCCUGUAAGGACGAAUAACAAGUAUUAUUCAUUCGUGUGUUGCUUUCAUCCCCCAUCAUGCAAUGUUUGGUAUAACAGUAAAAUGAAAAAAAACCAAGAUCAGGUGACCUCACUUUAUAUAGAAUGUAUAUAUAUAUAUAUAUAUAUAUAGAUCGAUUUGUAUAAAUCUAAAACAUGUUUGUUAGCUGUGUCAAUUUUGAUGAAGUCAUUUGCAAUACAUUUUUAAAGGCGGAAAAGAAUAUAAAUUAUUUAUUUGUAUAUGAGACGUUUGUAUGUGAAAAAAUAGUAUACGCAUUACCUGUGCGGGUCUGCAACAAAAUACAUAAAACCACCUCCGUAUUGAAAUUUCCAUUACGUUGGUUUUUUUAUGUAUAUUUACCCCACCUCGGAGUCAUGUGUAGUUUUAAACAUGACACGUAAAGGUCCUUCAGAUAACAUAGGAUGAACUGUGCAUAUUCAAUGAGAUCUGCAAUAUUCAAGAACAACAAUCGAAGACAGAUAUGUCAAAGAUAUGAGUUUGAGCCACCGAAAUAUGUUGUUUAAUAUAACUAAUAAUAAUAAGUGUAUUGCUUUUUAAAUAUUAAUUGUGACUGGUGAUAGAAAACAACCUAUUGUGAAGUGACUGACGUAAUACGGAGGUGUUUGAUAAAUUAUGGUUCCUUAAAAACAAAAGCUGUCUCUAGGUCUAUUCGCCCCAACCUCUCUGUCCCUGCAGUGUUGCAAUAUUACACUAACUGGAGGAAACGCGUUUUUAUUUUCGGAUUACGGAUCAGCUGGCCGGAUAGAAAAACAAACGGCCAAAAUAUAAAUGUAACUCUAAACUAAUUAUUUCCAGACCUUUUUGUUUUUUAUUGAUAAGAAAAUUGAAAUUACACUAGCGCAAAUGUGAUAUCAAGAAACAAGUUUGAAAAAUUAAAAAUUAAUUAAUCAAAACCAUAGGAACUUCUCUCGCCAUUGUACCCAUCCAAUUAGAGUACAAGAAGUAAAGUAUUGAUGUUCCUGGAACUGCAUCGAUCGUAAACAGCGUGCCGGGCCACGCGAUGUCAAGCCAGAACAUAUAUAUUCACAAACAUCGAUUUAGCAACCUUUCUUUCACCUGACCUGGCUAAUCUAUUGGUAAAACAAUCCAUACACUAUAAGACUGUUUCCUAAGUCGUGACCUCCCCACGCCAACCGUGCAUGGUGCGUUCCCCGAUGGACGAGCAGGAUGCAGGAUAAAGAAAUAGAGUUGACAUGUUGAAAAUAUGAUGUUAUGAAAUAAUAUAUUCUAUCAAGUGCCUUCAAAUAUACAUUUAGAAUUCACCCCCGUAAAACUUUAAUAUUUAUAUAUUUCUUUUGCAUUGGGAACUGUCAAAAUUUACCCUUACAAUCUCUAUAAACAUUGUUAUUGUAUACUGGAGUCUCUUAAGGGAACACGCUUAAGUAUCAAAAAUAAAAUCUUGCUCAACACCUUUUAAAUAUACGUAAUGGGUCAGAAAUGUUUUCGGUGAAUUACCCUUUGAUCAUUUUAGGUUGGUGCUUCAAGUUGUUGUAGUUAUAGGGGAGAUAAUCCUUGUUUUUAGUUGUACGUUUAUGGAGAUUGUAUGCAUCACAUAUCUGUCUGUAAACAUAUUUCAAUAUGUUUAUACGGGCCGUUCAAUAUGUUUAUAACAACGUUUAUAAAAAAACAACAUGUCAAGUUCAAAAUGACUAUGACCUUUUGUACGUGAAUUUCCAGGAAUGCUGAUCACGUUAUUAUUCCAGGGGUACGGGUUGACUUGUUUUACACGGGUAUUCACGGGUAUACACGGGUAUAUCUUAUACAAUAGUUCACCUUUGUCUGCGCAUCCUGUAAGUCCCAGAUGGAUCCGUCAUGUCACGUGUUACAUGUCGUAUGUCUUGAACGUUAUUUCGUGGUAUCUUUAUAGCGAGUAGCGGUUGACUCCCAAGAAGCAAAAUCAUUACCUCUUUCGCCUCUCUGAUUUUGGCUAGAAACUAUACAGAAUAAUGUACAUGAUAUUAAAGCGGAUUGAUUCGUUGAAAAUAUCUAAAUGUUUAACAUUGAAUUCGUUGAAAGUGAAUUUAAAGAUUAUUUCCUUUUCUCAUGUGUUUCAAGAAUACGAGAAUCCUACUUUCAUUCUUAGGAUUUAUUAUCUAUAUAAUUCUCUACCCUUUAUUUGGUCAUAUAAUACGAAGAGGUGGUGAUAUUCACUUCUUCGGAAGCCACGCCGUAGACGAGACGUCAGUGUGUUGGGAGGUUAUAGUAUGGAGCUUAUCGCAUCUCUGUAAGCUGAUCAUGUACACUGAUAGGUGAAGCGAGAAUUCCGGCGACUAGACCAAAGACAGUUUUCCCACUUUUACAACAUAUGAUAGAAGCGUUUGUAAUUGUUCUUAAUUACUAACACCUUAUAAAUGCGUGCUAUUUUAAAAAUAUAUUUGUUAAGUAACUUUUGGUCCCGUGGAACUGAUCUAUUGACUCCAUGUGUACUGUGUUAUUGAUGUGUAUAUUAUAUACUGUAACUAUGGCAACACUUUGUGUCAUUCUGAUUGGCUCAAACUAUGUAUUAACAGUGAAUUUUACCCCCAAAACUAUUUACAGAUAGUUGUUAUAUUUUCUAGAAAAGUAUGGCCAGAUUAAAGUGUAACCUUGAUAUACAAAAUAAAAAAAAGUAUAAACUCAUUUUAAGACCUCAGGGUUGGCAUUUUAGUAAGCUGCUGGGAAACGUUUGUGUCACUACUUAAACUUUCUCUAACACUGUUUUAAAUAAAUGUAACUCAAGACAUCAGUAAAUUGGCAAUUCAGAUGAACACAUUUAGUCGGUUACGUUCCUAUGGAUAGCCAUACACAACUGUUUACAUUCUCAAUAUAAGGCGUACCAAAUUAUCAGAACUUGACGAAAAAGAGGGUUUGAUUAAUUAAAAGUCAGUUUUGCGUUGUUAAAAUGAAGUUCAUCAAUGAAAAGGCACAUUCUAGUGGUCGUAGAUUCUGGUAAUUAGACAUAUAUGGACCAUUGCAUGCAAUGUGGCCAUGAUACCUCAAGGUCACUUGGUUUCAAGCUGUGCCGAAAUCUUAACUCACUUCAGAGUGUAUUAGUAUUGUUUUAGGUAAAGUGUAUUUCGGGAAGUAAGACUCACUAAGGCGAACACGUGGCACGAAAUUAUGGCAGAUGAUAGUGGUAGUUAUACAAACGUUCUCUCAGCAGCUGCAUGCGUGUUUACUACUCUGUGAUUUCAAUGUGGGUGCUUUACGUUUAUGAACUCUGAGAAGACCUUAUUACAUCAUUAUCACUUGUAAUAAAAUGGCCGCAUUAAAGAAAUCUUGUUUCUUGUCGUCAUCGGGCACAAACAUUGCCUGACACGUGAUACUGUAGCUCACCUGACCGAAGGUAAAGUGAGCUCAUGUCGUUGCCUGUUUGGGCGCCUUCAUUUGUUUGAAAUUCGAUUUUCAAUAUGUUCGCCAACACAGCCAUUUUGAGAACCCUGUUUAUGACCUUUAGCCAGAGAUUUGUUUUGUAAAGUGAAUCUAAAUUUAAUAUCUUGUAAAUUUUUAAUGUAACUACAUAUGCUUCUAACGGUUGUGCCAUAAUUUCACUAUUGGACUUGAUUUGACAUUCGAACUUCACCAUGCCCUUCCAAUCUCUCAAAUGCUGAUGACUGUAUGCCUUAUAUUGCCUAUAGGCGAGCUACAGUGUCAUGGCACUAUAGUUACAUAAGCAUAUUUCGUUUGUGAUUCCUUUGUUUGAAGAAGUGCAUAUUACCAUGCGGUAAAUUUCGCAGUGCCGGUUGUGGCACAGCAGAUGGAGUUUAAAGAUAUAUAAAGUAACUAAUACAAAAUGUGUGAGAAACAAGAUUAAUUUAAUGUGGCCUAAUGUUGAUGUUUGACGUGUUAAACAAACUGUUUUAGAUGGAUGCAUAGGUCCAUAGUCCAUAUAUACUAUUUAUCACACAUAUUAAUAUCAUGUUUUAUUAUUUAUACGAACAAAUGGACCAUGUUUCUUGAUAACGGUACAUGUAUUUUGUCUCUCUGUCUACACAUAAUGUACCGCCUAGCCCACCGGGCCGGGUGACUGGGGCCUCCAUCCUCCAUCCAUACAUCUUACAACAUGUCUGUCAACGUUUAACGAUUACGCUGGUAAUUGGGGGCAAUACCUUCAUCCCUUUAGCGUUUUAUCUCAUUCAAAGGGGGCGGUCGGAUAGCCUAGUGGUUAAAGCGUUCGCUCGUCACGCCGAAGACCCGGGUUCGAGUCUCGACAUGGGUACAAAGUGUGAAGCCUGACGUGAUAUUGCUGGAAUAUUGCUAAAAGCGGCGUAAAACCACACUCACUCACAUUCAAAUGUCAUCCAUUGCAUCAAGAUUGUUCUUUACAGCUGCUUAAAUACAUGGUCAUUAGUUAAGCAACCAUAAACUUAUUAAGUGGACAUGCACAUAGGAAUCUCUUAAAAGCUAUUUUCUAUUCAUAGAUUAAAUCAUAAGAAGGUAUAUUUAUAUAUAUAGUGCAUCGUUGGUUGUGAUAAUGAGAAUUCAGUCGGGUACAGUCGACUCGCCUGGUAUAGAUCUAUUGUUUGUCUCCAAGGCUGGCAUCGUGCGCUGAUAUUGGUUGUGUCCUCCCAUGUUGUGUUCUGCAGAACAAAAUGGCGCAUCUAGUUUCUGUUGUAAAGGUGAUUGAGGAUGGGUCUAGCGUCCAACCCAACAGACACAGAAGAAUUAGAUGAUGCUCUGAAAUAUUAUUUUAGUUCUCUGUACAUAUCAGAUAUGAAAGGUCACACGUAUUGAUCAACACACUUGCUAUAAAAAGGUCAAAGGCGAAGGUCACAAGAUAGAAAUAAACCAUUAAAAUGUUUGAGGUUACACUUUCUCAAAGAGUAUUCUUGCAUUUAUCAUGAAACUUGGUGCAUACCUUCUUUUGGUAAAAAAAACGUCAAGGACAAGGUCAGUAUUCAGGUUCGUAAUUGUCAUUCAUUGCCAAUUUCUGUUGCGCUGGAACUGGUAUGAUACUGAGACGUGGUACUUGGUACAUCUGAAGAAGUUGCCUUCAUUAAGGUCAAGGCCUAGAAGUAGUGUUUUCGGACUGGAAGUACAUGGCAUGUUAAGAUUUUGGGAGCUUUGGGGAAAUGAAGGGGGCUGCUAAUGAACUUGCAAACACAUCUAGUUCUCUUACGGGUACAGUAAAUCCUUAUUUAAAUUUUAUACACCAUGUGGGCCAAUAUUGGGCCAAUCAUACAUUGUUUUUUGACCGCCACUGUAGGUGAUUUUACUCAUUGACACAACGGAUUAUUAUCAUGAGAGUAUGUUGAUCUUGGCACAUGUUCCAAGGUGAAGCUCACGGGAUGACUGCUCACUUGAACGUUUGCGGUUAGUCUGUCUCAAAAUGUCUCAAAAUGUAUUGAAGGUUUAAUUAUAUAAUUGGUCAAGCUAGUAUUAGACCACUGUAUGUGUCACACAUUUCAACCUGCUGACCGCCUAGUGGUAGACAGUCCGCCCGGAGAAGGGAAGGUCCGGGGUUCAAUCCCCAGCCGCGUCAUACCAAAAGACGUUAAAAGGUGGUACUUGUUGUUACCCUGUCUGGCGCUCGACAUUAAGGGUCUAAAACAAGGACUGGUCGGCUCGGAGUCAGUAUACUGUGUCUGAGUGGGGUAUUCAUGUUAAACUGCAGCAUGGUAUUUCAUCGUUAAACCCCAUUUCACCUCACCCCACCAUUACAACCUGCAGGUGUAUUCCAAACAAGAUCGAAAGUGCAUAGAACCUUCUCAUUGUGUAAACCGCUCCGUACGGAUCCGGUUGUCGUCAAGACGACUAAACUGGAUCGUGUCAUCGUACCCAAUGUGGAAGUUUUAUCUUAUUAUGCUACUCGAAAGAAGUUAAGGACCGAUCGAUCCUUUCACAUUACUACAGUUAAUCUGUCAUAUGAAAAAAUCGGGUGGUCUUUUACUUCUUUUGAGAAGUAUAUGAACCAAUUUUAUGUCAAGCCCCUACUCGACUAUUUGCAUGCCGCCGUGAUAUACCGUAUUCGACGUAAUAAGCGCACAGGGCGCUCUCAAAAUUAGAAAUAGGGGGCUCUUAUUAGAAUAUGAUUUUGGUGAGAUUAAAAACGAGGUUGAAAGAUU
Long non-coding RNA from Haliotis rufescens (red abalone), 8278 nucleotides. RefSeq lists it as uncharacterized. The transcript has 4 exons. Lineage: Eukaryota; Metazoa; Mollusca; Gastropoda; Lepetellida; Haliotidae. The record is from RefSeq and is a predicted model, not a curated record.